AUUGAACGCUGGCGGCAUGCCUUACACAUGCAAGUCGAACGGCAGCGGGCCUUCGGGUGCCGGCGAGUGGCGAACGGGUGAGUAAUGCAUCGGAACGUGCCAUUGAGUGGGGGAUAACGUAGCGAAAGUUGCGCUAAUACCGCAUAUUCUGUGAGCAGGAAAGCAGGGGACCGCAAGGCCUUGCGCUCUUCGAGCGGCCGAUGUCAGAUUAGCUAGUUGGUGAGGUAAAGGCUUACCAAGGCGACGAUCUGUAGCGGGUCUGAGAGGAUGAUCCGCCACACUGGAACUGAGACACGGUCCAGACUCCUACGGGAGGCAGCAGUGGGGAGUCUUAGACAAUGGGGGAAACCCUGAUCUAGCCAUGCCGCGUGGACGAUGAAGGCCUUAGGGUUGUAAAGUCCUUUCAGCUGGGAAGAUAAUGACGGUACCAGCAGAAGAAGCCCCGGCUAACUCCGUGCCAGCAGCCGCGGUAAUGU
RNAcentral lists this ribosomal RNA (476 nucleotides) under uncultured bacterium. RNAcentral's name for it is "bacterial SSU rRNA". It matches the Rfam family "Bacterial small subunit ribosomal RNA", at positions 30 to 526 of the family's 1533-position model. The record is from RNAcentral.